CCCUAACCACCGAGGUCUUUCUGAGCAGCUUGAUAGUCAGAAGACUUCUUUAAUGGACUGUAAAUCAAAAAAUGAAUUGUAUUUGUUGUUUCUCCAGAUUUGCCAGUGAAAGAAGAGCUUGCGUCUGCCUGGCUGCUUUCAGAUCCAGUCCUCUUUGCCAGCCAAAGCAGAUUCUUCUUGCCUGCUUCCAAGAGGCAUGAGCUUAAACAACUGGUCUCAGAGUGGGGUGUUUCUACAGUCUGAGCCAUGAAGAGAGGAGAUGAAGUCUUCUCCUCUUCGGUGUAUAUGGAAGAGACUGGAGCUGAGCUGCUGUCUCCGUACCAGUAAAACUACAGUGAAAUCUGAAUUCUUUGUUCAUGUUUCAUCGCUCGCUUUGAGGAAAACAGUGAUGAUGAGAUCAGACAUCAGCCUCGGGGGGAGCGUCGGUACCACCCACCCCACUGCAAUCAGCGUCUGGUUCUCUCCAUUCCUGUCUGUCCCUGGCAGUGCUGCUGCAGGCUCCCCUGGGCAGAGCAGUCUUGUUCUACAGCACUCAGGCCCAUGGAUGGCGCGUUGCUGA
Molecule: long non-coding RNA, 559 nt
Filed under: Calidris pugnax (ruff)
Lineage: Eukaryota; Metazoa; Chordata; Aves; Charadriiformes; Scolopacidae
Description: lncRNA (ENSCPUG00000017841.1)
Source: RNAcentral